Long non-coding RNA from Colossoma macropomum (tambaqui), 210 nucleotides. RefSeq lists it as uncharacterized. The transcript has 2 exons. The record is from RefSeq and is a predicted model, not a curated record. Lineage: Eukaryota; Metazoa; Chordata; Actinopteri; Characiformes; Serrasalmidae.
AAACUACCAGAGCAGCCCAGCAAGUUCAGCCCCCACUUUGGGAACAAACGCAUGCAUUAAGGGAGUCUCUCAGCACUUACCAGUCACGAUGACCGUCUUGCCAUGGAGCCUUGCUGAGCUUUUACAUCUCGGCAUUUUAAGAACCGUCAUACAGAGCAGAGCGUAAACACCGAGCAGAGCCCCGCAAACGACCAGAAGGUAAAUCAUCUU